This 253-nucleotide ribosomal RNA is filed under the name uncultured bacterium. Its description in RNAcentral is "partial 16S ribosomal RNA". It matches the Rfam family "Bacterial small subunit ribosomal RNA", at positions 524 to 776 of the family's 1533-position model. The record is from RNAcentral.
UACGUAGGGGGCAAGCGUUGUCCGGAAUUAUUGGGCGUAAAGCGCGUGUAGGCGGUCCGGUAAGUCGGUUGUGAAAGUCCAGGGCUCAACCCUGGGAUGCCGACCGAUACUGUCGGACUAGAGUUCGGAAGAGGCGAGUGGAAUUCCCGGUGUAGCGGUGAAAUUCGUAGAUAUCGGGAGGAACACCAGUGGCGAAGGCGGCGACCUGGACAGAUAUUGACGCUGAGGUGCGAAAGCGUGGGGAGCAAACAGG